CCUGGAACUCACUAUGUAGCCCAGGCUGGUUUUGAACUCACAGCAAUCCUCCUGCCCCGCCUCCUGAGUGCUAGGAU
RNAcentral lists this microRNA precursor (77 nucleotides) under Fukomys damarensis (Damara mole-rat). Its description in RNAcentral is "miRNA (ENSFDAG00000020776.1)". The record is from RNAcentral. Lineage: Eukaryota; Metazoa; Chordata; Mammalia; Rodentia; Bathyergidae.